Molecule: long non-coding RNA, 674 nt
Organism: Bombus pyrosoma
Lineage: Eukaryota; Metazoa; Arthropoda; Insecta; Hymenoptera; Apidae
Exons: 2
Source: RefSeq, a predicted model, not a curated record
CCACUUUCGAUCCUGACUACACGGCGAAGGAUGAGACAGGAACUUUAUUUAUGAAAGGCUAUUCUUGAGGAAACGCAUACGAACCGAUACGAUCGUCAUUGAGUUGUGAACGAACGACAGCCGAUAUCAAUCAGGCUACGAGCAGGUGAACGACGAUGCAAGACAAGUUUCAAGGAGUCGUGCGUGAAUUUGUGCCAUCGACGAUUUACAAGAAAAGUUUUAUCUACUCAUGGCCUCAUUUGCAUAAUUGUACGCUCAAAGUUAGCGUGAACUAGACGAGUUGGAAAAAGCUAAUUGGAUUAUUUUUAUUUUUUCAAAAGGAUCAAUGUAUUUCUAAAUAUAUUUUAAGAAAUGAUUAUUGAAUAUAUUUAUUUGUUGAUGAGUAAAUGGUGUUUGUAAUUAAAGGAUACAAGGUUGCAUAUAUUUCAAAGUUAGCGAUAACUAAUCGAUUUGGAGGAAUUCUGAUUAGAUUAUUUUCACUUUCUAUGCGAGGUUUAAUAUCUUUAUCAAUAUCUCUCUACAAAUACCUUUCGAAUUUUUUUGAAGAUAAAAGAACGAUGUUCAUAAGUAAGAAAUAAGAUUGGAGAUUUAUAUUAUCUUGAGUCAACUGUUUCUAGGAAGGUUUACGGAGCCGAGACUGAGGCCUGAAUAAAAGGAGAAUAAUGAUAGACGGA